ACCUCAGUAGUGUAAUGGUAGCACAUUAGGCUCAUGACCUGAUAGAAAUAGUUCGAUUCUAUUCUGAGGAU
This 71-nucleotide transfer RNA is filed under the name Batrachochytrium salamandrivorans. Its description in RNAcentral is "tRNA-Met". It matches the Rfam family "tRNA". Rfam says of the family: Transfer RNA (tRNA) molecules are approximately 80 nucleotides in length. Their secondary structure includes four short double-helical elements and three loops (D, anti-codon, and T loops). Lineage: Eukaryota; Fungi; Chytridiomycota; Chytridiomycetes; Rhizophydiales. The record is from RNAcentral.